UCAUAAGAGUGCGGGCUUAUUCGGAAUUCCAGUUAGUGCCCUCGAAUGUCUAGCAGAGGAAGUCUCUCACCCGGUCGAUACGACGGUGUCGCAUUAACCACCGUCGGUUUGUCCCAACUGCAAUUUCGUAUAAGCUUUAUAGCAAGAAAGAAGAAUAAUAUAAAAAGUGGAUACAGAUAAGGGGAAAGAUGAAAUUAAAAAAAAGAAGCAAUAUCUCCGUAGCAAUAUCUCCCACGCUUAAAUAAACAUCGGCAGGAUAUUGCCGUGCGACUUCUUACAAGAUUUGAAGAUUAGAUAACAUUGAAAAAAACCCGAUAAAAAAGAAUCUUAAAUUACAUCGGAUCGUCUGUACUACGCCCGAAUCGACAAUGACGCUUAUCGCAUCGAAUGCCCGAUAACGAUGCGACCGAGCGACAGGGGAGGAAAAAAGGAGAUCGUUUGUCAAUUUCCCGGUUCGCUGCUGAUUGGUUCCUGAGCCGUGUCGCGCUACGUCCAUACUUUAUGCGUAUAAAACUCCAGAGACGGGAGUGAUGCGAUGUUAAAUACGGAAGUAACGAUCCGGAGAUUGCGAGUUUUAGAUUAUUGAAAAAAGAAGCGACAGAUUUGGUUUCACCUGUGGAACUCGUUAUUAAUGUAAAGUUAGAUGAAGCUUUGGAACGAUGAUAAUUUAAUUUUUUAAAUAAACGUGCUCGGUGCGAAGAAAAUAUGAUUCUAAAUAAAAGUAAACAAGUAAUUAAGCGUUAUUACAAUGUACGUAAAAGUAUGUUGCAUGUUCAAAAUUGGGACGUAAGACGUUUUAAAGAUAUCAUUGAAGACACGCAAUCUAUCACACAUUUUUGUGAAAGCGACGGAUCAGUAUCAGAAGCAGUGUAAGCGGACGAAGGCUUACGGCAUUGCGGAUUGGUAAAAGAGGCUGUUUAUGCAUUCUUGGCGCGAAGGCAAUCGUGGGGAUGGCGGGUGCUGGAUGCCGUGCGAGAACCAGACAAGAGAACAAUUACGCGCCGUCAGUCCCGUGACCGGCAGGAUACCAUGAGGUGAAUCAAAACUAGGUGUGUGCCAUCACCUCUGGGCCAGGUCUAUCUUCGCGUUCCGAGGCCACGUUCUGCGUCCCGGAGGAGAAGGAUCGAA
Long non-coding RNA from Wasmannia auropunctata (little fire ant), 1128 nucleotides. RefSeq lists it as uncharacterized. Lineage: Eukaryota; Metazoa; Arthropoda; Insecta; Hymenoptera; Formicidae. The transcript is spliced from 4 exons. The record is from RefSeq and is a predicted model, not a curated record.